RNAcentral lists this ribosomal RNA (405 nucleotides) under uncultured bacterium. Its description in RNAcentral is "partial 16S ribosomal RNA". It matches the Rfam family "Bacterial small subunit ribosomal RNA", at positions 30 to 526 of the family's 1533-position model. The record is from RNAcentral.
AUUGAACGCUAGCGGGAUGCUUUACACAUGCAAGUCGAACGAGUGGCGGACGGGUGAGUAAUAUAUCGGAACGUGCCCAGUAGCGGGGGAUAACUACUCGAAAGAGUGGCUAAUACCGCCUACUAUUGGAGCGGCCGAUAUCGGAUUAGCUGGUUUGUGGGGUAAAGGCUCACCAAGGCCACGCUCCGUAGCUGGUUUGAGAGGAGGACCAGCGAAACGUGGAGUGUGACACGGCCCAGACGCCUACGGGAGGCAGCAGUGGGGAAUUUUGGAGAAUGGGGGAAACCCUGAUCCAGCCAUCCCGCGUGUAUGAGAAGGCCUUAGGGUUGUAAAGUACUUUCAGUCGUGAGGCGUUACCGACAGAAGAAGCACCGGCUAACUCCGUGCCAGCAGCCGCGGUAAUAC